GUAGAGAUCAUGAUUUUAGAACAUGGGCUUUUGGCGAUAACUUUUGAUUUCGAACAUACAUGAAGGUCCUUUGUUUCUGUUAAACAGCUCACGCUUACUUUGCUCUUCAUUUUUAGGGAUGGCAUUUGAUUUGUGCUUACAGUAGGUGCAACAAUCUUGCACUGGGCACAUCUGUUGGGAACCAAAGUCCCUCUAGACAGUCAAAGCAGCAGAGGCUG
Molecule: non-coding RNA, 218 nt
Organism: Vigna umbellata (rice bean)
Lineage: Eukaryota; Viridiplantae; Streptophyta; Magnoliopsida; Fabales; Fabaceae
Source: RefSeq, a predicted model, not a curated record